AUUGAACGCUGGCGACAUGCCUUACACAUGCAAGUCGAACGGCAGCACGGGUGCUUGCACCUGGUGGCGAGUGGCGAACGGGUGAGUAAUACAUCGGAACAUGUCCUGUAGUGGGGGAUAGCCCGGCGAAAGCCGGAUUAAUACCGCAUACGAUCUACGGAUGACAGCGGGGGACCUUCGGGCCUCGCGCUAUAGGGUUGGCCGAUGGCUGAUUAGCUAGUUGGUGGGGUAAAGGCCUACCCAGGCGACGAUCAGUAGCUGGUCUGAGAGGACGACCAGCCACACUGGGACUGAGACACGGCCCAGACUCCUACGGGAGGCAGCAGUGGGGAAUUUUGGACAAUGGGCGAAAGCCUGAUCCAGCAAUGCCGCGUGUGUGAAGAAGGCCUUCGGGUUGUAAAGCACUUUUGUCCGGAAAGAAAUCCUUGGCCCUAAUACGGUCGGGGGAUGACGGUACCGGAAGAAUAAGCACCGGCUAACUACGUG
This 486-nucleotide ribosomal RNA is filed under the name uncultured bacterium. RNAcentral describes it as "partial 16S ribosomal RNA". It matches the Rfam family "Bacterial small subunit ribosomal RNA", at positions 30 to 507 of the family's 1533-position model. The record is from RNAcentral.